This 975-nucleotide ribosomal RNA is filed under the name Bacillus subtilis. RNAcentral describes it as "bacterial SSU rRNA". It matches the Rfam family "Bacterial small subunit ribosomal RNA", at positions 226 to 1216 of the family's 1533-position model. The record is from RNAcentral. Lineage: Bacteria; Bacillati; Bacillota; Bacilli; Caryophanales; Bacillaceae.
UGGACCCGGGGCUUAGCUAGUUGGGAGGUAAGGUCACCAGGCAACGAUGGUAGCCGACCUGAAGGGGAUGGCCACCUGGGACGAGACCGGCCCAGAUCCUACGGGAGGCAGCAGUAGGGAUCUUCGCAAUGGACGAAAGUUGACGGAGCAACGCCGCGUGAGUGAUGAAGGUUUUCGGAUCGUAAAGCUCUGUUGUUAGGGAAGAACAAGUACCGUUCGAAUAGGGCGGUACCUUGACGGUACCUAACCAGAAAGCCACGGCUAACUACGUGCCAGCAGCCGCGGUAAUACGUAGGUGGCAGCGUUGUCCGGAAUUAUUGGGCGUAAAGGGCUCGCAGGCGGUUUCUUAAGUCUGAUGUGAAAGCCCCCGGCUCAACCGGGGAGGGUCAUUGGAAACUGGGGAACUUGAGUGCAGAAGAGGAGAGUGGAAUUCCACGUGUAGCGGUGAAAUGCGUAGAGAUGUGGAGGAACACCAGUGGCGAAGGCGACUCUCUGGUCUGUAACUGACGCUGAGGAGCGAAAGCGUGGGGAGCGAACAGGAUUAGAUACCCUGGUAGUCCACGCCGUAAACGAUGAGUGCUAAGUGUUAGGGGGUUUCCGCCCCUUAGUGCUGCAGCUAACGCAUUAAGCACUCGCCUGGGAGUACGGUCGCAAGACUGAAACUCAAAGGAAUUGACGGGGGCCCGCACAAGCGGUGGAGCAUGUGGUUUAAUUCGAAGCAACGCGAAGAACCUUACCAGGUCUUGACAUCCUCUGACAAUCCUAGAGAUAGGACGUCCCCUUCGGGGGCAGAGUGACAGGUGGUGCAUGGUUGUCGUCAGCUCGUGUCGUGAGAUGUUGGGUUAAGUCCCGCAACGAGCGCAACCCUUGAUCUUAGUUGCCAGCAUUCAUUUGGGCACUCUAAGGUGACUGCCGGUGACAACCGGAGAAAGGUGGGGAUGACGUCAAAUCAUCAUGCCCCUUAUGACUGGGCUA